Molecule: ribosomal RNA, 231 nt
Filed under: uncultured bacterium
Lineage: Bacteria
Description: partial 16S ribosomal RNA
Rfam family: Bacterial small subunit ribosomal RNA
Source: RNAcentral
CGGACGGGUGAGUAAUGUCUGGGAAACUGCCUGAUGGAGGGGGGUAACUACUGGAAACGGUAGCUAAUACCGCAUAACGUCGCAAGACCAAAGAGGGGGACCUUCGGGCCUCUUGCCAUCGGAUGUGCCCAGAUGGGAUUAGCUAGUAGGUGGGGUAACGGCUCACCUAGGCGACGAUCCCUAGCUGGUCUGAGAGGAUGACCAGCACACUGGAACUGAGACACGGUCCAG